GCGGCCGUAGUCUAGCCUGGUAGGACGCGGGCCUGCCACGCCCGUGACCCGGGUUCGAAUCCCGGCGGCCGCACCA
This 76-nucleotide transfer RNA is filed under the name Thermoprotei archaeon. RNAcentral's name for it is "tRNA-Gly". It matches the Rfam family "tRNA". Rfam says of the family: Transfer RNA (tRNA) molecules are approximately 80 nucleotides in length. Their secondary structure includes four short double-helical elements and three loops (D, anti-codon, and T loops). Further hydrogen bonds mediate the characteristic L-shaped molecular structure. tRNAs have two regions of fundamental functional importance: the anti-codon, which is responsible for specific mRNA codon recognition, and the 3' end, to which the tRNAs corresponding amino acid is attached (by aminoacyl-tRNA synthetases). tRNAs cope with the degeneracy of the genetic code in two manners: having more than one tRNA (with a specific anti-codon) for a particular amino acid; and 'wobble' base-pairing, i.e. permitting non-standard base-pairing at the 3rd anti-codon position. The record is from RNAcentral. RNAcentral also lists the same sequence under 1 other name. Lineage: Archaea; Thermoproteati; Thermoproteota; Thermoprotei.